GACGAACGCUGGCGGCGUGCUUAACACAUGCAAGUCGAACGAUGAAGAAGAGAAACGCGAACUUCGGUUCAAAUUUCACUUCGGAUUAGUGGCAGACGGGUGAGUAACGCGUGAGCAACCUACCUCUUACAAAGGGAUAGCCUCGGGAAACCGUGAUUAAUACCAUAUGACACAUUCACAAGGCAUCUUAAGAAUGUUAAAGCUACGGCGGUAAGAGAUGGGCUCGCGUCCCAUUAGCUAGUUGGUGAGGUAACGGCCCACCAAGGCGACGAUGGGUAACCGGCCUGAGAGGGUGAACGGUCACAUUGGAACUGAGACACGGUCCAAACUCCUACGGGAGGCAGCAGUGGGAAUAUUGCACAAUGGAGGGAACUCUGAUGCAGCGACGCCGCGUGAGCGAUGAAGGAAUUCGUUUCGUAAAGCUCUGUUCUAUGGGAAGAAAAGGACUGUACCAUAGGAGAAAGCCCCGGCUAAAUACGUG
Molecule: ribosomal RNA, 481 nt
Filed under: uncultured bacterium
Lineage: Bacteria
Description: partial 16S ribosomal RNA
Rfam family: Bacterial small subunit ribosomal RNA
Source: RNAcentral